This 906-nucleotide ribosomal RNA is filed under the name Triticum aestivum (bread wheat). RNAcentral's name for it is "partial small subunit ribosomal RNA". The record is from RNAcentral. Lineage: Eukaryota; Viridiplantae; Streptophyta; Magnoliopsida; Poales; Poaceae.
AUGGAGGCAGCUUUGAAUAUGUCACUCGAUGAUAUGAUUAAGAACAGAAGUGGGAGGGGAAGAGGAAGGGGAAGGGGACAAAGGGUUGGUCGAGGCCGAGGUGAUGGCCAAAGGUCAGGCAGAGGUGAUGGCCAAAGGCUAGGCCGUGGUUUAGGCCGUGGACGCGGUGCUGGAACCUUCCGUGGAAGGGGAGUGCCUUCCCAAAGGCCACUUGGUGUCAAUACUCGCUCGUCAUCGUAUGCUAUUGCCAAGUCAUUCAACAAAACAAAGGAUUUUGCAUGGACACAUGAUCGGUUUGAGGAUAGCAUGGUGGCUGCUGGACUUCCUGGGAUAGAAACUGGUACCAAGUUGUAUGUGUCAAACUUGCACUACGGAGUGACAAAGGAAGAUUUACAGGAACUUUUCUCUGAAAUGGGUCAUUUGAAGAACUGCAUUGUUCAUUAUGACAAUAAUAGACACCCAACUGGUUCAGCUGAGGUGAUAUUCACUAGGAGGAGUGAAGCUGUCCAAGCAUUGAAACGAUAUAAUAAUGUACGCCUUGAUGGGAAAGAAAUGAAGAUCGAAAUGAUUGGAGCAAAUUUGGGUUUGGCUGCUGCUCCUGCACCUCGUGUUAAUGUUGUUUCAGGCGCAAGAGGAAGAGGACAGAGAGAAGUUGUGAUGUCCCGUCCAAAUGGGUUUGGUCGAGGUGUGACUGACUCAUCUAGUUUUCUUCCUGGGUGGAAGCGCAACAACGGUUUUGCUCAGAGAGGAGGAUCGGUCCGUGGGCGUGGGCGUGGGCGUGGCCGUAGCAGCUUUGGUCGAGGUCGUGGACGUGGUGUCUACGUACGGAAGGGGUCGGUGAAAUCAGCUGACCAAUUGGACAAGGAGCUGGACACCUAUCAUUCUGGAGCAAUGAAUGUCGACUAA